CGUCUAGGCGGUUCGGUAAGUGGGAUGUGAAAUGCCCGGGCUCACCCCGGGACCUGCAUCCCAAACUGCUGAGCUUGAGUACAGGAGAGGGUAGGGGAAUUCCAGGUGUAGCGGUGAAAUGCGUAGAUAUCUGGAGGAACACCGGUGGCGAAGGCGCCUACCUGGCCUGUUACUGACGCUGAAGCGCGAAAGCUAGGGGAGCAAACG
Molecule: ribosomal RNA, 207 nt
Filed under: uncultured bacterium
Lineage: Bacteria
Description: partial 16S ribosomal RNA
Rfam family: Bacterial small subunit ribosomal RNA
Source: RNAcentral